Molecule: unclassified non-coding RNA, 21 nt
Filed under: Mus musculus (house mouse)
Lineage: Eukaryota; Metazoa; Chordata; Mammalia; Rodentia; Muridae
Description: oocyte_clustered_small_RNA3478
Source: RNAcentral
CAUAGAGCUCUCCAUUUCAUA